UUACAAACCACAGAAAAAGUC
Molecule: non-coding RNA, 21 nt
Filed under: Caenorhabditis elegans
Lineage: Eukaryota; Metazoa; Nematoda; Chromadorea; Rhabditida; Rhabditidae
Source: RNAcentral